CUGGACAUCACCCUCUGCAACUGGAUCCUGGACUUUCUGACGGGCAGACCACAGGCUGUGAGGAUUGACAACAACACCUCCUCCACACUGACUCAGUGGCCCCAGGGGUGUGUCCUCAGUCCUCUGCUGUACUCCCUGUUCACCCACGACUGCGUGACUGUGCAUGACACCAAUUCCAUCAUCAAGUUUGCUGACGACACCAUGGUUAUAUGCCUGAUAACCAACAAUGAAGAGUCAGCCUAUAGGGAGGAGGCUGAAGUCCGUGCUGAGAGUAGCGACCAGAAUGGAGAGGACUACAACUCAACAACAGACAACAGAGAGGUCAAAGACUACAACUCAAUAACAGACAACAGAGAGGUCAAAGACUACAACUCAACAACAGACAACAGAGAAGUGAAAGACUACAACUCAACAACAGACAACAGAGAAGUGAAAGACUACAACUCAACAACAGACAACAGAGAAGUGAAAGACUACAACUCAACAACAGACAACAGAGAUUCUCCAGCCACACACAUAAACCACCUACAGGACGUCCCAGGGAGGACCACUGAGGAAGAGGAGAAGAGGAGGAGAGACGAAGAUGAGGAUCUAGAGUUCCCUCAUGACUUCCUGCCCAGUAUAGACCUCAGCCUUGAACUCCACUGGGGAACUUCACUUGGACCCUUCCAGCGUCUGGAGCCUUUGGAGUCUCCUGUAGCAGAGUUUCAUACCCUCUCUGAAGAGACAGCCACCCCUCUGGGCCAGAGAGAAGACACACUAGCGAAGGAAGAGGAGCUACCAGGACAGGAGAAGACCAUUCCUCUACCAGGACAGGAGCUACCAGGACAGGAGAAGACCAUUCCUCUACCAGGACAGGAGAAGACCAUUCCUCUACCAGGACAGGAGCUACCAGGACAGGAGAAGACCAUUCCUCUACCAGGACAGGAGCUACCAGGACAGGAGAAGACCUUUCCUCUACCAGGACAGGAGCUACCAGGACAGGAGAAGACCUUUCCUCUACCAGGACAGGAG
Long non-coding RNA from Oncorhynchus tshawytscha (Chinook salmon), 1014 nucleotides. The record is from Ensembl. NCBI's taxonomy places the organism in Eukaryota, Metazoa, Chordata, Actinopteri, Salmoniformes, Salmonidae.